RNAcentral lists this ribosomal RNA (467 nucleotides) under uncultured Alphaproteobacteria bacterium. Its description in RNAcentral is "bacterial SSU rRNA". It matches the Rfam family "Bacterial small subunit ribosomal RNA", at positions 9 to 524 of the family's 1533-position model. The record is from RNAcentral. Lineage: Bacteria; Pseudomonadati; Pseudomonadota; Alphaproteobacteria. RNAcentral also lists the same sequence under 1 other name.
GAGUUUGAUCCUGGCUCAGAACGAACGCUGGCGGCAGGCUUAACACAUGCAAGUCGAACGCCCCUUCGGGGGAGUGGCGGACGGGUGAGUAACGCGUGGGAAUGUGCCCUUUGGUACGGAACAACUGAGGGAAACUUCAGCUAAUACCGUAUGUGCCCUACGGGGGAAAGAUUUAUCGCCAUUGGAGCAGCCCGCGUUGGAUUAGGUAGUUGGUGGGGUAAUGGCCCACCAAGCCGACGAUCCAUAGCUGGUCUGAGAGGAUGAUCAGCCACACUGGGACUGAGACACGGCCCAGACUCCUACGGGAGGCAGCAGUGGGGAAUCUUGCGCAAUGGGCGAAAGCCUGACGCAGCCAUGCCGCGUGUAUGAUGAAGGUCUUAGGAUUGUAAAAUACUUUCACCGGGGAAGAUAAUGACGGUACCCGGAGAAGAAGCCCCGGCUAACUUCGUGCCAGCCGCCGCCGUAAC